This 460-nucleotide ribosomal RNA is filed under the name uncultured bacterium. RNAcentral's name for it is "partial 16S ribosomal RNA". It matches the Rfam family "Bacterial small subunit ribosomal RNA", at positions 338 to 795 of the family's 1533-position model. The record is from RNAcentral.
CCUACGGGAGGCAGCAGUGAGGAAUAUUGGUCAAUGGCCGGAAGGCUGAACCAGCCAUGCCGCGUGAAGGUCAGUGCCCUAUGGGCGUUAAACUUCUUUUGUGCGGGAGCAAUAAUGGUCACGUGUGGCCAGACGAGAGUACCGUACGAAUAAGCAUCGGCUAACUCCGUGCCAGCAGCCGCGGUAAUACGGGGGAUGCAAGCGUUAUCCGGAUUUAUUGGGGUUAAAGGGUGCGUAGGCGGUGAGGUAAGUCAGCGGUGAAAUGCCCACGCUCAACGGGGUGAAGUGCCAUUGAUACUGCCUUGCUGGAAUGCGGAUGCCGUGGGAGGAAUGUGUGGUGUAGCGGUGAAAUGCAUAGAUAUCACACAGAACACCGAUUGCGAAGGCAUCUCACGAAUCCGCGAUUGACGCUGAUGCACGAAAGCGUGGGUAUCAAACAGGAUUAGAUACCCGAGUAGUC